AAUGACAGGGUGAUGGUGACCCCUAAGUUUUACUGCCUCAUAGAGAUGGCUUUAGCUGCCUGUGAAGAAGAAAUCCUCUGCAUCCUGAUGUCCACCAGAUUCAGCUCAUGGUCUUCUGGUGUCCAGAACUUACCAUCUUUCAGCUCUCACCAAUGAGGAAGUCCACAUAUCUUGAAUCUAGCCUCUGUCAGUCCCUAUUCCUGUGGGAUGGAUAUUGUGGAAACCUGAAGCAUACUGAAAGUGCCUUUAAAAGGAGAUGCUGAUUUUAAUUGGAGGGAAUGGUACACAAGCCUGCUAAAUAGAGAUACAAACAAGGAAGUUGCUGUGAGAAGAGAGAGGAGGUUCAGGCAAAGUAUUUGGUCUAAUUAAUCAGCAGCUAUGUUCAUGAUUGGGUAUGGAUGUCUGGAAAGGCCUUCGCUCCUCAAUACGUCCAAGGGUUUAAAAGUCUGAGGCAAAUCCAAGUUCACUGACUAAAGACUGCUGGAUAUACAAGAGUGUAACCACCCCUUUUAUCCCACUACUAUGACCUCAAAAGAAAGACUUGUCAAAAAGCAUUCAUAGUAACAGCAUACGUGAAUAUUUUCACUGUUUAAAGUCUGCCACUUAUUCCUUUGUACCACUCUGGUUGCUUUCCUGAGAUCACAUUAAACUCAGCUGAGCAUAACAUGCAAAGGAAAAGUGACCCUGAAAGGUUCCUUUUAAGCACUCUAUGCUUCCCUGACUCAUUUUAAUGUGGCUGCCACGUGGUUCAGUAGCUGUAUAAGUGCAUGUGCUUGUUUAGUCCUGCCGUAAAUGUUAAUCUCUCCCUGGAAGAUAAAAGGACUGCCCCCUUAUAUUAUAUUAACUCCAAAAUUAUUAUUACUUUCAAAAAAUAUAUAUUUUUUGUAUUUAAGCCUCCCUUCCAUGAAUGUGAAGGGAGAUGGCAGUAUCAAGACAGCACUUUGACAAAAAAAAAAAAAAAAAAAAAAGGCAAAAUGCCAGUCCUCAUUGUAGGCCUGUGGGGUAGUGCAUACGAAACAAAAACACUGCUACAAAGGAAG
Long non-coding RNA from Cygnus olor (mute swan), 1040 nucleotides. RefSeq lists it as uncharacterized. The transcript is spliced from 6 exons. Lineage: Eukaryota; Metazoa; Chordata; Aves; Anseriformes; Anatidae. The record is from RefSeq and is a predicted model, not a curated record.